GACACUAGUCGCUGUAAGCUUUUGGUUAUCCGUUGUUUCUGGUUGAUUCUUAUUAACAUGUUACUAAACUCAAACCUAAAUGCGCCCGUGCUGUUUCCAUGUGUCUAAAAGUGAACAAAAUUAAAAAAAAUAUCUUAAGCAAAAGAAAGCAAACGUUGUUUUGUUGUUGUUAUUGUUGCGCGCCUAUGUACGACUAGUGUGCGUGUGUGUGUGUGGUGAAUUUGGACUGCCACUGCCUCCCACAUCCGCCCACCCACCUCUCUCUAACCAGCGGCGUGCAAAAAGUAAAUUUAAGUGCAAAUAAAUUGCUUUGCUUAUCUCGUGUGUGCGCGCUUACUUGAUAUGGCUACACACUCAAUACAUGUGUGUGCGUUGUGCGAGUGUGUUAAUUAAUUUACAAAGCCAACCUCAGCUCUCCAGCUCCAGUGGAGUCUUCUUGUAAAUAACAUAUACAAAUGUUGUAAAUUUGUUGAUUCGCGCGUGUCACAAAAAUAAAUGCGCAGCACAGCACGCGCGUCCCACUAACAAAAAAAAAACAAAAACAAAACACCAACUGGAGCAGUGCAAGUUCUAACCCCUUGACAUACCAACAAAUCUAAACCAUACUCAAUACAAAAGAAGGCGCCUUAUACUACUUGAAAACGAAAGUUCUUUUGCAUGCACCAAAGCCAAACACACACACACACAUACAAGCAUAAGUGCAUGCAGUGGUUAAGAACAUAACGCCACUUACAAGCACCAGCAAAGAAGAGAGCGAGAAAGAGCGAGUGCUUGGCGCCGUGGACACUCUUGGCCUUGAACUUGUGCGGCGCGGGAGCGCAGCGUUCAGCCAUUUGAAAUUAGAAGACUUCACUAGCAGCAGCUGAAACUAUUUAAAAGUUGUAUAACAAAAAGAAGAAGACGACAACAGCGCUGGCGACUAUGUUGCAACUUAACAUUUAAUAUCAAAGUCAAUUGAUAUAACAAUAAUCAGGAAUUAAAGCCACACACUGCAAUUGUCUUAAGGAUAAAACUAUUGCCAUAUAUAGUUAAAUAUUUAAUAAAUUUAUAUACAACUAUUUAAAUGCUAACAAGCGCUCAUUGUUAAGCAUUUUAUUUUGGAGCAUACGCCAGCAAAGCAGUGUAAAACUUUUUGUACCUGGAAGCAAAGCAGCAACUUUAAUAAG
Molecule: RNA transcript, 1166 nt
Organism: Drosophila busckii
Lineage: Eukaryota; Metazoa; Arthropoda; Insecta; Diptera; Drosophilidae
Exons: 4
Source: RefSeq, a predicted model, not a curated record